Molecule: small nuclear RNA, 107 nt
Organism: Nycticebus coucang (slow loris)
Lineage: Eukaryota; Metazoa; Chordata; Mammalia; Primates; Lorisidae
Source: RefSeq, a predicted model, not a curated record
GCACUCAUUUAGGUAGCACACAGACUAAAAUUGAAAGAAUACAAAGAAGAUUAGCAUAACCCCUAUGCAAGGAUAAUAUGCAAAUUUGUGAAAUGUUCCAUACAUUU